UAUGUAUUAUAUGGUAUGGUGCAUAUAUAUAUCUAAUAUGAAUGUACAUUUAGCUGUAUAACAUAGGUGUAUGAAAUAUUGCAGGCCUUUUUGCUUAGAUUUGAAAAAGUUAAAUUUUCAAUGACAUUUCCACAAGGUUAACAGCUAAAAGGUUGAAGUUAAAUUAGAACAAACACAUGUGUUGUCAGUCAAAUGUAUACAAAACACUUAAUUUUGAAGCUAACUAUAGGCAGAGCCAUCUAGGGUAUAUCCCAAACGUAGAUAUUCAAUACAUUACAUCUUGCAACAAGUUAGAAUACCUUUUUGGGAGUAUUACACAGGUGGGGGCUGCUUUAUGGAGGACAAAAUGGCUAUUUAACUGAAGGAGAAAGAGUGUGACGUUGUCAUUCAUUCACCAUUCAUUCAUUCAUCCAUCUACUCUUACUCUGCCUGCUGUCACCACACAUCUGAAAGGUAUACAGGGACAUAUGCUG
Molecule: non-coding RNA, 473 nt
Organism: Pelobates cultripes (western spadefoot toad)
Lineage: Eukaryota; Metazoa; Chordata; Amphibia; Anura; Pelobatidae
Source: the annotation of a GenBank genome assembly